CAAGGACAGGUGGAGCGCUUAGAAGUGAGAAUGCCGGUGUGAGUAGCGAAAGACGGGUGAGAAUCCCGUCCACCGAUUGACUAAGGUUUCCAGAGGAAGGCUCGUCCGCUCUGGGUUAGUCGGGUCCUAAGCUGAGGCCGACAGGCGUAGGCGAUGGAUAACAGGUUGAUAUUCCUGUACCACCUAGUAUCGUUUUAAUCGAUGGGGGGACGCAGUAGGAUAGGCGAAGCGUGCUGUUGGAGUGCACGUCCAAGCAGUAAGGCUGAGUGUUAGGCAAAUCCGGCACUCAUAAGGCUGAGCUGUGAUGGGGAGAGGAAAUUGUUUCCUCGAGUCGUUGAUUUCACACUGCCGAGAAAAGCCUCUAGAUAGAUAACAGGUGCCCGUACCGCAAACCGACACAGGUAGGCAAGAUGAGAAUUCUAAGGUGAGCGAGCGAACUCUCGUUAAGGAACUCGGCAAAAUGACCCCGUAACUUCGGGAGAAGGGGUGCUCUUUAGGGUUCACGCCCAGAAGAGCCGCAGUGAAUAGGCCCAGGCGACUGUUUAGCAAAAACACAGGUCUCUGCGAAGCCGCAAGGCGAAGUAUAGGGGC
This 591-nucleotide non-coding RNA is filed under the name Bacillus thermotolerans. RNAcentral's name for it is "Quasibacillus thermotolerans Bacterial large subunit ribosomal RNA". It matches the Rfam family "Bacterial large subunit ribosomal RNA", at positions 1264 to 1852 of the family's 2925-position model. Lineage: Bacteria; Bacillati; Bacillota; Bacilli; Caryophanales; Bacillaceae. The record is from Rfam by way of RNAcentral.